UACGAAGGGUGCAAACGUUGCUCGGAAUUAUUGGGCGUAAAGGGCGCGUAGGCGGCUUGGCAAGUGGAUGGUGAAAUCCCUCGGCUUAACCGAGGAACUGCCGUCCAAACUGCUUCGCUUGAGACCGGGAGAGGUGAGUGGAAUUCCCAGUGUAGCGGUGAAAUGCGUAGAUAUUGGGAGGAACACCAGUGGCGAAGGCGGCUCACUGGACCGGUACUGACGCUGAUGCGCGAAAGCGUGGGGAGCAAACGGG
Molecule: ribosomal RNA, 253 nt
Filed under: uncultured bacterium
Lineage: Bacteria
Description: partial 16S ribosomal RNA
Rfam family: Bacterial small subunit ribosomal RNA
Source: RNAcentral